Molecule: transfer RNA, 77 nt
Filed under: Fidelibacterota bacterium
Lineage: Bacteria; Pseudomonadati; Fidelibacterota
Description: tRNA-Pro
Rfam family: tRNA
About the family: Transfer RNA (tRNA) molecules are approximately 80 nucleotides in length. Their secondary structure includes four short double-helical elements and three loops (D, anti-codon, and T loops).
Source: RNAcentral
CGAGGCGUAGCGCAGUCCGGUAGCGCACUGCGUUCGGGACGCAGGGGUCGGAGGUUCAAAUCCUCUCGCCUCGACAA